UACGGGGGGGGCAAGCGUUGUUCUGAAUUACUGGGCGUAAAGGGCUCGUAGGUGGCCAACUAAGUCAGACGUGAAAUCCCCAGGCUUAACCUGGGAACUGCGUCGGAUACUGGAUGGCUUGAAUUCGGGAGAGGGAUGCAGAAUUCCAGGUGUAGCGGUGAAAUGCGUAGAUAUCUGGAGGAAUACCGGUGGCGAAGGCGGCAUCCUGGACCGACAUUGACGCUGAUGAGCGAAAGCUAGGGGAGCAAACGGG
RNAcentral lists this ribosomal RNA (253 nucleotides) under uncultured bacterium. Its description in RNAcentral is "partial 16S ribosomal RNA". It matches the Rfam family "Bacterial small subunit ribosomal RNA", at positions 524 to 776 of the family's 1533-position model. The record is from RNAcentral.